Molecule: ribosomal RNA, 865 nt
Filed under: Escherichia coli
Lineage: Bacteria; Pseudomonadati; Pseudomonadota; Gammaproteobacteria; Enterobacterales; Enterobacteriaceae
Description: partial 23S ribosomal RNA
Rfam family: Bacterial large subunit ribosomal RNA
Source: RNAcentral
CGGGACACGUGGUAUCCUGUCUGAAUAUGGGGGGACCAUCCUCCAAGGCUAAAUACUCCUGACUGACCGAUAGUGAACCAGUACCGUGAGGGAAAGGCGAAAAGAACCCCGGCGAGGGGAGUGAAAAAGAACCUGAAACCGUGUACGUACAAGCAGUGGGAGCACAGAGCAAUCUGUGUGACUGCGUACCUUUUGUAUAAUGGGUCAGCGACUUAUAUUCUGUAGCAAGGUUAACCGAAUAGGGGAGCCGAAGGGAAACCGAGUCUUAACUGGGCGUUAAGUUGCAGGGUAUAGACCCGAAACCCGGUGAUCUAGCCAUGGGCAGGUUGAAGGUUGGGUAACACUAACUGGAGGACCGAACCGACUAAUGUUGAAAAAUUAGCGGAUGACUUGUGGCUGGGGGUGAAAGGCCAAUCAAACCGGGAGAUAGCUGGUUCUCCCCGAAAGCUAUUUAGGUAGCGCCUCGUGAAUUCAUCUCCGGGGGUAGAGCACUGUUUCGGCAAGGGGGUCAUCCCGACUUACCAACCCGAUGCAAACUGCGAAUACCGGAGAAUGUUAUCACGGGAGACACACGGCGGGUGCUAACGUCCGUCGUGAAGAGGGAAACAACCCAGACCGCCAGCUAAGGUCCCAAAGUCAUGGUUAAGUGGGAAACGAUGUGGGAAGGCCCAGACAGCCAGGAUGUUGGCUUAGAAGCAGCCAUCAUUUAAAGAAAGCGUAAUAGCUCACUGGUCGAGUCGGCCUGCGCGGAAGAUGUAACGGGGCUAAACCAUGCACCGAAGCUGCGGCAGCGACACUAUGUGUUGUUGGGUAGGGGAGCGUUCUGUAAGCCUGCGAAGGUGUGCUGUGAGGCAUGCUGGAGGUA